RNAcentral lists this transfer RNA (69 nucleotides) under Bos taurus (domestic cattle). It matches the Rfam family "tRNA". Rfam says of the family: Transfer RNA (tRNA) molecules are approximately 80 nucleotides in length. The record is from Rfam by way of RNAcentral. Lineage: Eukaryota; Metazoa; Chordata; Mammalia; Artiodactyla; Bovidae. RNAcentral also lists the same sequence under 4 other names.
CCUGGUAGCUCAGCUGGUAAAGAAUCUGCAUGUAAUGCAGGAGACCCAGGUUCGAUUCCUGGGUCAGGA